RNAcentral lists this ribosomal RNA (393 nucleotides) under uncultured bacterium. RNAcentral describes it as "partial 16S ribosomal RNA". It matches the Rfam family "Bacterial small subunit ribosomal RNA", at positions 523 to 918 of the family's 1533-position model. The record is from RNAcentral.
AUACGUAGGGGGCGAGCGUUGUCCGGAAUGAUUGGGCGUAAAGGGCGCGUAGGCGGCCCGGUAAGUCUGGAGUGAAAGUCCUGUUUUUAAGAUGGGAAUUGCUUUGGAUACUGUCGGGCUUGAGUGCAGGAGAGGUAAGUGGAAUUCCCAGUGUAGCGGUGAAAUGCGUAGAGAUUGGGAGGAACACCAGUGGCGAAGGCGACUUACUGGACUGUAACUGACGCUGAGGCGCGAAAGUGUGGGGAGCAAACAGGAUUAGAUCCCCUGGUAGUCCACGCCGUAAACGAUGGGCGCUCGUCGUCGGCGGCAGACAGUCGGCGGCCAAGCGAAAGCGAUAAGCGCCCCACCUGGGGAGUACGGUCGCAAGGCUGAAACUCAAAUGAAUUGACGGGG